Long non-coding RNA from Lathyrus oleraceus (garden pea), 1618 nucleotides. RefSeq lists it as uncharacterized. Lineage: Eukaryota; Viridiplantae; Streptophyta; Magnoliopsida; Fabales; Fabaceae. The record is from RefSeq and is a predicted model, not a curated record. The transcript is spliced from 4 exons.
UUUGAAAUGCGGAACCAUAGUCUGCCCUUGAAUUCUUUGUGCAAGCUCGCACUGAAAAUGGCAAGGCGAUUGUUCAAUGGAGUUUCUUCGCGCACGAGUCUCCCUUCGCGUCGGCGCGUCCUUUCACCACCAACCUUGCAUUCGCGGCGCUUCAGUUCACACAAUAACGGAGAUUGAAUCCAUUCACCUUGUGCUCAUCAAUCAUCGUGGAUUCACGUCUUGGAUGCGGUAUCAUCCGUCGAUUUCCAAGUGGUCGCGGCUUCGUAUUUAGAAAACUCGACUCGUUGCUCAUGAUUCGUGUUUCAACCGUUCCCAGCUCCUUGCAUCAUCGUCGCGUGAGGGUGUCAGUGUUCGUCGCAACUCCCCAUGGCAUCGCUUUCUUCAUUAGACUUUAAUUGCGUCCAGAGAUAUCGAAGCAACAAGGAGUGUGUCGUGCUUAUGCAUCAGGCGUCCCAGAGCAUCAUCUUCGAAUUGGUGGGACGCACUACAAGUUUAUCAUUGUGUUUACAGAUUCGUAACAGCGACGACGUCGCGUUCGUGCAUCAAGGAUCCAAAGCGAAUUAUUCAAGCUUAAACUAACGUGGAUUUACCGGCUUCGUCUCUACGGAAAAACAGGUACGAAUCCUUGCUUCUUUAUGCUUCUUCUUCACCUAUCCUUCUUUAUGCUUCUUCUCUACGGAAAAACAGGUACGAAUCCUUGCUUCUUCUUCACGUAUCCUUGGGUGAAGAAGAUGCCACUGAGAGAAUGAAUAAUUGAAGGAUUGGAGGAGGUUGAAGAAGGUUUGGGAAUUCUGUUGUGUGGUUGUUACAGGUUGAAUAGAAGAUGAUGGAUGAUGGUGAAACUCGGUCGCGGCAUUGAAGAACAAUAGUGCAGUGUGUAUUCUUUUGAUUCAGAAUUGAGUCUUUUGAUGCAAAAUAGAGAAGAAGAUUGAGAGUGAGAAUCGAUUGGUUGAAUAUGGAGAUUGAAGAGUAGAGAAUUUUGUUGAAGAUGAAGAAUGGAUUGAAGCAGAAGGUUGAAGAAGGAGAUGAAAGAAUGGACCCUUCGUGCAGAGUGAAGUAUUUAUAGUUUUUUUUUUGUUAUCGAAUCAGUUAGGAAUAUGAGUGAAAUUCAACUUAAAUGAAAGUUAAAUCCGAGAGUUGGUUAGAGAUGAACAAAAUCUGUUAACAGGUGAUGGUUGAAGGAGUCAUGUGAAAUUUACGGAUCGAAGAUCAUGACCUGUUAAAUAGGUUUUGUUUCAAAUGCAGGGAAAAUGCAGGUGGAUUACCAACCUUUUGCAAGUGAAUUAAUGGAUAUGGUUAGCUCAGUUAGGUUAGGAGAUGUUUGGAAAACCAUGGUGUUAAGUUGAAUUCAUGUUCGGAUUUUUGUUCGUGGAAUGUUGUAAACCAGAGUUGCUUGGAGUUGGCUAUGGAUUGUUAAUCUGAGAUGCAAUAGAAUUGGUUUUUUUGAAUUGAAAUGUAGAUUUGUAAAUAUCAUGGAUGUACACUUGUAAUUUUAAAUGUUAAUUUGGAUAUUCUAAAUCAUUUGAAUGGUAUUAGAUUUGAUUUGAGUUAACUUUGAAAGUGUUUUGAAUUAUUCAUGUAAAAUAAUAGUAAUGGAAAUACAAUAUUUGUAGAUUAA